UACGUAGGGUGCGAGCGUUAAUCGGAAUUACUGGGCGUAAAGCGUGCGCAGGCGGUUUUGUAAGCCAGAUGUGAAAGCCCCGGGCUUAACCUGGGAAUGGCAUUUGGGACUGCAAGGCUUGAGUGCGGCAGGGGAGACUGGAAUUCCUGGUGUAGCAGUGGAAAUGCGUAGAUAUCAGGAGGAAUACCGAUGGCGAAGGCAGGUCUCUGGGCUGACA
Molecule: ribosomal RNA, 217 nt
Filed under: uncultured bacterium
Lineage: Bacteria
Description: partial 16S ribosomal RNA
Rfam family: Bacterial small subunit ribosomal RNA
Source: RNAcentral